Salvelinus fontinalis (brook trout) is the source of this 432-nucleotide long non-coding RNA. RefSeq lists it as uncharacterized. The transcript has 4 exons. Lineage: Eukaryota; Metazoa; Chordata; Actinopteri; Salmoniformes; Salmonidae. The record is from RefSeq and is a predicted model, not a curated record.
AGGGUAGCUCUGGAGAGGCAGGUCUUCUUGGAACAAUGGGAUCUGCUGGUAAAACAGGAGAGCAAGGCAAAGUAGGAGGUCUAGGACCCAUUGGACCCAUUGGCGGACCAGGAGACAGAGGAGAACAAGGACCAGGCGGUCCACCGGGUAAACCAGGAGCCAGGGGACCUAAAGGGGAUCUUGGUCUUUCUGGUGUUCCCGGACCCCCAGGCCUCCCCGGAGUGAAGGGAGAGAGGGUAAGAUAAGAGGACGUUCUAUUCUGACUGGUAUCUAUCCCCUCUGUAGAGACCUGCCGUCCGGUGGGGAAACAAACACUUCUGUUAUACAACUAAACAAACUCCUGCUAUUAUACAACUAAACAAACUACUGCUAUUAUACAACUAAACAAACUACUGCUAUUAUACAACUAAACAAACUACUGCUAUUAUACAA